ACUUCAAGAUAAGAUUUCCCACCGCAAGGGUAAGACCCCAGAAAGACUAUCUGGUUGAUAGGUCGAAGGUGUAAGUGCAGCAAUGUAUUUAGCUUAUCGAUACUAAUAGGUCGAGGACUUGACCAAUGUUUAUU
Molecule: ribosomal RNA, 134 nt
Filed under: Clostridioides difficile
Lineage: Bacteria; Bacillati; Bacillota; Clostridia; Peptostreptococcales; Peptostreptococcaceae
Description: partial 23S ribosomal RNA
Rfam family: Bacterial large subunit ribosomal RNA
Source: RNAcentral